UACAGAGGGUGCAAGCGUUGUUCGGAAUCACUGGGCGUAAAGGGCGCGUAGGCGGCUUUAUAAGUCGGGGGUGAAAGCCUGUGGCUCAACCACAGAAUUGCCUUCGAUACUGUAGAGCUUGAGACCGGAAGAGGUAAGUGGAACUGCGAGUGUAGAGGUGAAAUUCGUAGAUAUUCGCAAGAACGCCAGUGGCGAAGGCGGCUUACUGGUCCGGUUCUGACGCUGAGGCGCGAAAGCGUGGGGAGCAAACAGG
This 253-nucleotide ribosomal RNA is filed under the name uncultured bacterium. RNAcentral describes it as "partial 16S ribosomal RNA". It matches the Rfam family "Bacterial small subunit ribosomal RNA", at positions 524 to 776 of the family's 1533-position model. The record is from RNAcentral.